Molecule: long non-coding RNA, 2249 nt
Organism: Gadus macrocephalus (Pacific cod)
Lineage: Eukaryota; Metazoa; Chordata; Actinopteri; Gadiformes; Gadidae
Exons: 3
Source: RefSeq, a predicted model, not a curated record
GAUGAAGAUGUUAUUUUUGUUGUUGGCAUUUCCCUUCUUUUUCAAAGUUUGUACCGGCCUUCUUCUUUCUGGAGAAGUCGGAGGGACGGUGUUGUUUCAAUGCAACUCAAUAAAGAUGGAUAUAAAGUCUAUGUCCUUUCAAGGAGGCACAGAUUUUAAAAAGGUUAUAAUUGGAUAUCAUGCUCCGACGAACAAGACCGAAGUCCUUCGACCUGACACCUUCUUGGACAAUGUGGAUAAAACGGUAACCUUUGGAAAUCUAACCGUCUCAGAUGAAGGGACAUAUAAAUGCAUCGUAAACCAUGGCGUCGGUAGAGGAAAAACUGAAGACACCAAAACAACGCUCAGCAUAACUGGUAGGCCCUCCAGGCACUGAUUCCCACUCCCAACAAGAACAUUGGAAUAAUAUAUAAUACCUAUUACAUUCCACCACCCCAAUCAGUUUGUUCUGAAGUGCACAAAUGUGGACGGAUAAACUCUUUAUCCAAAGCAUGUAACUUCCUCCAAGUUAUUUUCAGACUUUCAGAGGAAUUUUAGAUUGGACCUCUGGAACACACGUCGGGAUGCCAAUUUAUUUUCACUUUAGUUGAUCCCCUGAAUGAUUCGAACCAUGACUUCCCUUUUGCUUCACAUAAAAAGGGAAGUGUGAAGAUUCGCCCGGCGUGUUUGCUUUGUCAUCUCCCGUUUUCUUCGUUAAUGAACUUCUCGUUUUCCCUCUUUAGCAACCCCCGAUACAGUGACACUAGAGCGUCGCAUUCCUGGGAGCUCUGGUGACGUCUCCAAUGCCUCGCUGACGUGUACUGCCGUCGCGGUCUAUCCAGUCAGCAAAAUAUCAUGGAAUGUUUCUGGUGUCCUUGAGCAUCAAUGGGAGAACAUAGUCACGCAGGAUAAGAAUUCUCUGCUGUUCAACAUCUCGAGCACUGCGUUCUUCAACUGUUCAGACAAAUCAACGCGACUCAUCACGUGCUCUUUGGGGGGCGUUUCCUCUGACGAGAAGAUUGUCUGCCAGCAGCCCAAAGGUCACUCUUUACUAUACUGCCUUCUAAUUUUAAUCGCACCAGUCCUGGGGUUUGGGCUGAUUUGCUUGCCGGGGGGAAAUGCAAAAGAAAUCCACGUAAGUGCACACAAGAUCAUUGAGCAAACAAACUAAAAUAAAUAAACGCCAGUAUACUAAAAGUUGCUGACAUUUUCCUUCUGUCUAUGCAGGAUGGUAAGCUAGAUUGUUACGAAUUUCAUACUCACUCUUAAAAUGCAAUCCCUACAGCUUUUGAAUUUACCAGUAGGCCUAUUAGAUAAUAUCGUUUUUCCUGUAUAAUAAAAAUACUAUAGACACAAUAGACCUGGAACGUGUGUAAAAUAACAACGCAGUGAGUAAUAAAUAGAGCAGUACGGAUCAUGAAUUUGUGCGACCCUUUACACUUGGGUGCGCAGAAUGAAUGUUAUGCAGUUCUGCCAGGGAGUGAACACCUGCCUUAUUCGGGGCUUAACUGAACUUGCCUGUUUUAAAGCAUGACCACGGAUGCCGGAACUGCAGAAUGCAGGUUGCGGAGCUACAGGUCUUCAGACCUGGAGAACCGGUGCGACUCUAUCAGAUAGCAGAGUGCAGCAAUGAGUGCCAUGGGGACCACGGCCGAGAAGGAGACUGAUAUAUUGUGGUGACCUUCGGCGUCGUCGCCGAGUUCAGGGUACCGCAAGGGAUCCUGGGGGGGGUAGGACCAUCGCAAGUUGGACCUCUGGCGCCCUCCUAGGUCCUUUGCGGCAGAGACAUUGUGUGGGGUUAUUGUUCCCGACACCGUCACCUAGACGUUUAUGUCUAUUAGUUAUAUUGAGUGUGUGUGGCGUGUGCGUGAUCAUUCAAGGCAACUCUGAAGAACAGGUGCAUUACGGUAUCAUUUUAUAUUAUUGUUAAUAGUCUAACAUUUCAGUAGCGUUUUUUUUUCAUUUGCUUUUUUAGCUAUGUAUGACAGUUAACAAUGUUGGUGUAUUGCUAUUAAAUUAAUUAUGUGUGUAGGCCACUCCAACUCCGUUGCUGGUUGAUAUUUAACCAUUUAUUUGUACAUAAAUUAUUGAUUGCAUUUUUCGUAAAGUUAGUUUGAAGGAAUCUUUUUCUUAAGCAAUAACAUUGAACUGUAUUUUGGUGUUAUAUUGUAUUAUUAUAUUGUUAUAUUAUAUAGUUUGUGUUAUAUGGAGCAAUCUUUCAUAUUUAUAAAGUUCAAAGAUCAAUAAAGUUAUAUCUAUUUUUAUUUGAA